UAUAUAUGGUGAUUAGAUUUUGAAAGUUGAGCCUUCCGUUUAAAAAAGACCUUUAGGGAACUUGUCUAAUGAAAGGUCAUUAAAUAUUAUACUAGUACACAGCAGCCACAGCAAUACAAAUAGGUGAUGUGAAGAAAAGUUGGAAACUUUGGAGAAUGUGUUUGAAAGGUGGAGAAACAGCUUUUACUUUCAUUUUUGGCAAGUUGUAGCUCCCCUCAUCAUUUCUGCAGCCGGUUGAGAGACAGGGCUCUCCUGUGAAGGUUAGGUGGACUUUUGGUCCAGGAGAGACUAGUCACAGCUCCAGGGUUCUGCAGGCCAUAGCAUCAGCACUACCCCAGGCCACACAAGCUAAUUUUUGUAGCCUCAUGCCCAGAGAUUCUGAUUCAGU
RNAcentral lists this long non-coding RNA (388 nucleotides) under Homo sapiens (human). RNAcentral describes it as "non-protein coding lnc-ST6GAL2-9:1". Lineage: Eukaryota; Metazoa; Chordata; Mammalia; Primates; Hominidae. The record is from RNAcentral.